This 274-nucleotide ribosomal RNA is filed under the name uncultured bacterium. RNAcentral's name for it is "partial 16S ribosomal RNA". It matches the Rfam family "Bacterial small subunit ribosomal RNA", at positions 523 to 796 of the family's 1533-position model. The record is from RNAcentral.
AUACGGAGGGUGCAAGCGUUAAUCGGAAUUACUGGGCGUAAAGCGCUCGUAGGCGGCUUGUUAAGUCGGAUGUGAAAGCCCCGGGCUCAACCGGGGAACUGCAUUCGAUACUGGCAAGCUAGAGUAUAGUAGAGGCAAGUGGAAUUCCGGGUGUAGCGGUGAAAUGCGUAGAUAUCCGGAGGAACAUCAGUGGCGAAGGCGACUUGCUGGACUAAUACUGACGCUGAGGAGCGAAAGCGUGGGGAGCAAACAGGAUUAGAAACCCGAGUAGUCC